GGCGGGUCUCCCCGCAUCGCAGGGUGGCGAACCUGGUCAGGGCCGGAAGGCAGCAGCCACAGCCAUUUUCCGCGAGUGCCGGGGGUCAGGCUCGCCACU
RNAcentral lists this signal recognition particle RNA (99 nucleotides) under Zoogloeaceae bacterium. Its description in RNAcentral is "signal recognition particle sRNA small type". It matches the Rfam family "Bacterial small signal recognition particle RNA". From Rfam's summary of the family: The signal recognition particle (SRP) is a universally conserved ribonucleoprotein involved in the co-translational targeting of proteins to membranes. Lineage: Bacteria; Pseudomonadati; Pseudomonadota; Betaproteobacteria; Rhodocyclales; Zoogloeaceae. The record is from RNAcentral.